This 253-nucleotide ribosomal RNA is filed under the name uncultured bacterium. RNAcentral's name for it is "partial 16S ribosomal RNA". It matches the Rfam family "Bacterial small subunit ribosomal RNA", at positions 524 to 776 of the family's 1533-position model. The record is from RNAcentral.
UACGUAGGGUGCGAGCGUUGUCCGGAAUUACUGGGCGUAAAGAGCUCGUAGGUGGUUUGUCGCGUUGUUCGUGAAAACUCACAACUCAAUUGUGGGCGUGCGGGCGAUACGGGCAGACUGGAGUACUGCAGGGGAGACUGGAAUUCCUGGUGUAGCGGUGGAAUGCGCAGAUAUCAGGAGGAACACCGGUGGCGAAGGCGGGUCUCUGGGCCAUAACUGACGCUGAGGAGCGAAAGCGUGGGGAGCGAACAGG